Molecule: long non-coding RNA, 1211 nt
Organism: Amaranthus tricolor (Joseph's coat)
Lineage: Eukaryota; Viridiplantae; Streptophyta; Magnoliopsida; Caryophyllales; Amaranthaceae
Exons: 2
Source: RefSeq, a predicted model, not a curated record
CUCUUUUAGUAUACACUUAUGCUCAUCCUUUCCUCGGUCUCCCUCCACUCUCUUUUUCUUCCUCAAACCCUUACUCUCCCUCAAGAAAUUCACCCACCACAACAAGACCACUCAGGUGCACCACCACCACCACCGUAGGCAGCUAGCAGCCGCCAGCUGGCCGCCUGUUGUCCCUAAGGACCUAUUCUCUCUCCUCCAUUUUUGUUCCCGGUUCAUAAGAGGGGCGUAAGAACUUCUUUCAAAGUGAUUGUUGUGACUUGUUAUUUUGCAGUUGCAGGUAAGUACACGCAGUAGCUAACUCUUGCAUGCAUCUUGAAUAUAUUUUCUUUGCGUAGCAAUAUUAUAUGAGUUAUGUUGACUACGAUUUGCUAUUAAAUCUUAUUAAAUUAUUGUUUCAAGUGUGGAUCGGUUUGUAGAGAUGGUAGAGAAUGGGUUUUGAUGUCGCGAGAGUGGAAUGUUGGAUUAUAUGAGAUGGAAUGGGAAUGACUCCUUAUUGAUAAGUUUUGAAUUAUGUUUUAUGAAUGGGAAUGAAUCCCUUACUGAUGAGAUAUUAAGUUGGUUUUUAUUGUGACUCCACUAGAUUGGUACCCCAGUUGGUUUAGUUCCCAGAGGCAAGGAUCAUCUAUAUAUGGUCGCUGUACGGGGGUAUGAUCAUACUUUGCCAUUGGGUGCCGGCAUGGCCGUCACCGUCCUUGGUUGAGGUGUUACCAUGUUGGUCUUGCAAACCCCAGUAUGGUAGCCUCUUGUCACAUAAGAGAAUAUAUGAAACCAAAGAAGAGAUGGAAAAUGAUGCAUUGAGAAGUACAUAGAAAUGAGAAGUAGUUCGAGUUAAUACUUGCACAUUGGAAUGUCUCCCUCACCUUGUUUAGUUGAAAUUGAUUGUUGGUUAUAUAUAUAACAUGUUGUUGGUUACCGACGUGUACUGUUUGUUUCUUUGUUGAUGGCUCAUCUUUGAUGGCCUUGCUAUGACACGUUGGUCUAUUAUCUUACGUUAAGCAGCAGGGAUAUCAUAGAUAGAUCUUGCAGGUUAUGGAGAUUCCUUGCAUUGCAUACGAGGGGGAAUGAGUGAGAACCUUGAAGCGUACAAUGUUAUAUUUGUUUUUGACGCUACAUGUAGUUUCUUUGCAUUUAAAUUGUUUAUGUUUUUAGCUUCAGGCACAUGCCCUCUUCUUGAUGUAAUUCGUUCCACUACAAAGGUUUAGUUCGUACGA